AACGAACGCUGGCGGCAGGCUUAACACAUGCAAGUCGAGCGCCCCGCAAGGGGAGCGGCAGACGGGUGAGUAACACGUGGGAAUCUACCCAUCCCUACGGAACAACUCCGGGAAACUGGAGCUAAUACCGUAUACGCCCUUCGGGGGAAAGAUUUAUCGGGGAUGGAUGAGCCCGCGUUGGAUUAGCUAGUUGGUGGGGUAAAGGCCUACCAAGGCGACGAUCCAUAGCUGGUCUGAGAGGAUGAUCAGCCACAUUGGGACUGAGACACGGCCCAAACUCCUACGGGAGGCAGCAGUGGGGAAUAUUGGACAAUGGGCGCAAGCCUGAUCCAGCCAUGCCGCGUGAAUGAUGAAGGCCUUAGGGUUGUAAAGUUCUUUCACCGAUGAAGAUAAUGACGGUAGUCGGAGAAGAAGCCCCGGCAAACUUCGUGCCAGCAGCCGCGGUAA
This 447-nucleotide ribosomal RNA is filed under the name uncultured bacterium. RNAcentral describes it as "partial 16S ribosomal RNA". It matches the Rfam family "Bacterial small subunit ribosomal RNA", at positions 29 to 523 of the family's 1533-position model. The record is from RNAcentral.